AUAUAUUAUUUUAGAGAAAAAAGAAAAUCAAAAUAUAAUAUUGAAAUUAAUUCUUUUUCAUUAUUUAUCUUAUAAAUUGUAUAAAAGUAUGCAAAAUUAUGAAUUAAUUUGAUCAUGAAAGAAAAUCUGAGAUAGGUAAAAUGAAAUGGAAAUAUGAGGAAACUAUGAGAUUGUUUCACUUUUUUAUUUUAAGUGAUAUCCAUAUCCUUUCUAUGAUCAAUGUAAACUAGCGGCAAGGCUUCUAAGCUAUUAAUUAACUUUCUGGGGAUGAAAUACCAUUUUGGAUUUUCCAUUAAAAUUAUGCUUUGCUGAAUAUCAUGGAGCACAGCUAAAGUGACUUCUAUCCAAAUGUCUAAUGGGAUAUUAUACCAAAAUAUUAGUAUAGAUUUACCUGUAAUAAAAAUAUUCUGUGGCAGUGAGAUUAAAUUAUAGUGAUAUAAAUACUCCUAUUCAUUCUAACAAAUGCCCAAAGUGUCAGAUAGAAAAUUAAGUUAAAUCGCUAUAUAAGGAAAUGAUCAGCAUAAACAUCUAUAUAAAACUUACAUAAAACUAUACCAUAGGGAAAAAUUGUAUAUCAUGAGCUACUGCCUUCACCUAAAAUCUUUUCAAGGAUUUCAUAUUCAAAUGAUUCUAGAUUGUUAUUAUUAUAUUGAUAUUAAAGUAUUGUGGGCUGCUUUGAGGCUAUCAUUGAGACUAUGCCUACUUCCCUCCAAAAUACCUGUUUAUCAGGACUUCAUUAUUUUUCUUCCAUUAUGUCUGAAAAGAAAACAGUACAGCAUCACAAACUUAUUUUACAAACCUAGAAAUCUAUUAGUUGCCAUAUGUUCUGCCACAUUUACAUCCCUUAAAAGCCAUCAGCAGAUGCGUUGCUAUGAUAGCUGUGUAUACCCAUACAGUCUCUUAUAGUCAGAGUUUACCCAAAUUUCAAGGGCUCUGACAUCCUAAAAUAUUCUCUUUACUAUUUUUUCUCCUGCAAAAAGAGCAUGAGCCUAUUAAUAGAGUGGCUCUUGGAGUCACUGUAUUACUUCUUUUCAUGUUUUUGCCUUGAACAUACAGAAUAAAAAACACAAUUGAGAAAGUGGGGAAAGAAAUUGGUUGGGACACUAGACUGUCUUCUCUAUCCAGUUCUUUAGAUCUUACUCCAAAAAUAAUAAAAACAGUUCAUCUAGAAUUCUGAUGUCAGUAAAACUGUUACUCUAGUGUUCUGACUGGCAUCCAGAGAAAGGAAGUCAAAUGUGAAACUCAGAUAAAUUUCCACACAUGUGAUGUUGUUAAUUACACUUUGAACUAGAAAGUUAUAUAUAGAAAGGACUUUAAACUCCUUGAGUCUGAAAGCAAGAGAUUUUGUAUAUUAGCUGAAGACUUAGAUUGACCCUGAAAUCUAUUAGGCUUCAAGGAAAACAUAGCUUUGGGUAUGAAAAGAUUUCCCUCAGGCUUUGUUUUUUGUUUUUCUUUCUGAUUUCUGCUGAUAGUCAGUCAGGACUAGUGCUUGCCUGCGAUGAAUAACCAGGGCAGAAACUUGAGGCAAAAGCCCAUAGUAAAAACGGGGAUAUUUCAUUUAUUAGGUACUUCGUAUACAGGAUAUUUCAGGAAGCCUGCUGUUAUUGUGUGGGUUCUCCCAAUAAAGCAGGGUUUGAGACAAGGACAUUUUUUUGGCUUUUAAGCCCACGCUUGUGGCAUAUAGAAGUGCCCAGGCUAGGGGUCAAAUCGGAGCUACAGCUGCCAGCCACAGCCACCGCGACCGCCACAACCACAGCAACACAGGAUCCAACCUGCAUCCGUGACCUACACCACAGCUCAUGGCAACACCAGAUCCUUAACCCACUGAGCAAGGCCAGGGAUCAAACCCUUAUCCUCAUGGGUACUAGUUGGGUUCGUUAGUGCUGACCCACAAUAGGAACUCCCAAACAAGAAUGUUUAUAUAGAAUUUAUUUUUAGAAGUGAUGUUAAUGCACCAAAAUGGAAGGAGUAGAAAAAUUGAAACAAAGAAAGAGGUAGAGUUGUCUUAAGAAGCAUGAUAUGACUGUCCCCACUAUGGGUCACUGGGACUCAGUCCCACUAGGGAUCUUAUGAGGAAUACUAUAAAGUGCUGAAACAUGAGAGAGGGUAUUUGUUUAUGCAGUUUGCCCCACAGUUAUGCACGUAUGCCUUCAUCAGCUUGCUGAUUAGCCUUCGAGAGUUUUCCAAUGCUGCUAUAGCAAAGAAAUACCAUUCAGAAAGCAAGAGAUGUGUUGUAUAUCUGUGUCAAGGUGCUGCAAUGCUAGACCAAAAACACCUAUGGUAAACUUUUCAAGGGAAAUGUAAAAAGUAUCUGAUGGAGACCACCUCUCCUUGCACAGGUCAAGCCCUCCUAGCCCUGCAUUAAGUCCAGUACCCCACAGAUGUAAUAUGAGAAUGCAGUGUUGCUGGCAGAAUCUAAUUUUUUGUAGUAUCGAAGUCUUCAUUCCUUGAUGAUUCUUAGCUAAGGUUUAUUCUCAGCCCCUGGUAUUUGCCUGAAUUUCUUGCUACCUGGUAUUCUGCCAACCCUAGAAAAUCUCUAUAGUAUCAAAUCCUUUCACGUUUUGAAGGAAUGCCUCACCAGAAAGAACCUCAUUCCUUUUAAGGACUCAUUGGUUUGGGUCAGGCUCACCAAGGACAAUUUUCUCAUCUUAAGGUAAACUGCUAUGGGAGCAAAAUUGCUCAAGUAAAAUACAUUUUGACAUAUAAGAAUCAUUGAAAAGAUAGUUUGUCAAAUUCACAGGUUCCACAUUCAAGUGGAGUUGUUUAUACAAAGGUGAGAGCCACUGAGUUUACCUUAGAAUUCUACCUACCCCACUCUCAUCCUGGGGCUUCACAGAGUCUCCUUCCAAAUCCACAGAAGCUCACCAACUUGCAUUUUGGAAAAAAAUAAAGUUGUUCUCUUAAUAGGGCAUGAAAAAUAACAACAGCCUGGUUUGACUUUAAGGAUGUCUCAGCAUGCCUGUACUACUGGUUACUGAAAAUGCUCAGUAAUAUUGACGGCCCCUGAAAACUUUUUGAAUUUCAUCUCCCUCCCUUUGACAUGCAUACAUCUUACGAAGCUUCUAGCGUACUUACCUUUUCUGUUCAUCAGGUUCACCAAGGAUGAUACACUAAUACAGCAUGAUUGAACACUUUUUUUCAAGAAAAAAUUAGAACGCUUUGUUAGACUAUUAGUUACAUACUGAAUUUUCUGAACCCCCGGAAUCUCCCUCAGACAAUUCUGCUCAUUGUAUUUUGGAUCAACUCCCUGAUUCAGGGGCUCAUACCAUAUAUCUGAGACAAGAAUAAAAAGUAGAGUUAUUUGUAAUUGGGGUUGGUCAUUUUCCCUCAGGAGUGAAAUAGAUAGAUAGGCUGUACAAUACUAUUGUCUUCCCACAGAGUCUCAGAAAUUGUUUCAUCCAGGUGUAAAUGUCUAUUUAUCUGCUGAGGUUGAAGUAGGAAAGGGGAAGAAGCUCAAUGUCACUUUCCAUUUCCACACUCUUCUCUUCCUGGAAGUCUGGAGUUCCUGUUAAAAGCUCUGAUUAUUGUGUAGAUACAUCUUUCCCAUCAGCUUUCCAGCCUGCAACAAACACUGAUUUGAUCCAUCCAUCACUGUGAAAGCCAUCAGCCACUGUUUGUGAACAAGCUGACGGGUGCUGGCUUUAUUUGGCUGAGGUUGAGGGAAUGGCAGUUCUAUCAAGUGAGCCAAAAUUCAGUUUCUGGGGCUUUUGGUGUCUAUUUGACUUAGGGAUGUUAAAAAUACCCUCUCUUUUCAACCAGCAAUGGUCUAGAAAUGCACUCUUGCUUUGUUCUCCUCUUAUCUAAGUCAAUUUGGAGAAGUCUGGUGGUGAUGAGGCAGAAUAUUCUUUUUUUUUUUUUGCUAUUUCUUGGGCCACUCCCACGGCAUACGGAAGUUCCCAGGCUAGGGGUCGAAUCAGAGCUGUAGCUGCCAGCAUACGCCAGAGCCACAGCAACACUGGAUCCGAGCCUCGUCUGCAACCUACACCACAGCUCACGGCAACGCUGGAUCCUUAACCCACUGAGCAAGGGCAAGGAUCGAACCCGCAACCUCAUGGUUCCUAGUCGGAUUCGUUAACCACUGCGCCACAACGGGAACUCCCAAGGCAGAAUAUUAAUUCAGGUAGUCAGUGUAGGAGCAUGGGCUCCCAUGCAUUCUUUGAUAUGGCUUUUGAUUAACAUUUGCAGCUUAAGGGCUCCAGGGAGUAACAUCCCCACAGGCCUUGUUUACUGUAGGGAGUGUACCUAUGCCCAGAUGGGAUGUUAAUCCUUAAUCCCCUGUGACUCAGUUUAUGGGAAGAAAAGGACAAAGAAACUAUGAGAUUUAUGGGACAUUUCCACCCCUAAGACCCUACCUCUUGGACAAGGACUGAUAUAGGUAAUUGAGAAAGAGCAAGAGGAGAAAACCACAUCUUUCUGGACCCCACGUUGGUGCCCCACCAUUUUUAGGAGAUAAAAAUCCCUGUAGGACAACAGAGAGGGGGGCUCUUCUCUCCCUCCCAGCAAACCUGGAAACUAUGUCCUUUAAUAAAGACCUCGCUUGCUUGCUGCCUGUGUGUUCGCAGAGUUCAUUCUUCUACAGCCGCAAACAAGAACCCAGAUCCUGGUAUCAUUUUUUUGGCAUCAGUGAGAUGACAGUCAAAAUAGUGGAGAGGGUUUUUUUUGUUGUGGCUGUUGUUGUUUAAAGUAAUUUUAAGGCAAGACGGGAAAUCCUCCUUCAUGGUGUGUUUGAAAACUUCAAUGCUGUGUGCUGUGAGAAUGAGAAUGAAUAGCCCAGGUAUCUAAAGGAUGGUAGUCCUCCGACACAGAUCUUCAUCACACAAUGUCUUCUUCUUAGUAUUUCCCCCUCCUCCUCUAUCUUCCAGAUGUUUCUUCCCUUAGAAUUGUUUUGGCUUCCUGUCAUUAUCCCAGGCUGUCCACUCCUGACAAUUUUCUCCUUGUCAGUUCUUUCAUAGCCACUCCGGUUUUUGUGUAAACCACAGAGCUUCAGUUGCUGGCAAAGUUCCCAGGAGCUUGGCCCAGAGCCAGCAGACAUUCAUCUCUUAGACAUCCCCAAAAUUCAGGAGGGGGGACUUUUCUAGUACAAUAGGCUUCCCCCAAAUGGAAUCAAGAUCCAAGCAAGUAUUUUUGCUUCCUGAGUUCAGUGGCUCUCCUUUUCUCCCUUCUGAUGGGUCCAGUGCCUCAGAGAGAAGAGAGGCUCCUACGUAACCGCAUCCAACUGUCUACCAGCAUUUGCAAGUGGAAAUCAACAUUUACCUAGCAAUUCCUUCAGGACUGGAUGCUCUUGCUUUUGAGGAGAAUUAGUUAUCUUCCCAGGAAUUGUCACAUAAUUUUUUGUCCUGAAAUUUUCCCCAAAGAUCCUGGUGUUCUCUAUAAUUUUAGGAUGCUUUAGCACCCCUAUUGUAGGAUGGUGAGCUCUUUUAUCUUUUGCUCUCUUUCCUUAAUCUUAAAGCUCAUUAAGGAUGAGAGACACAUGAGAGGGAACCAGUGGACUAACUUACAGACAGGUUUGUAUCCAGAUAAACAAUAAAUGUACCUCAUUACUGGUUACAAGCAGUUUUUGUUUUUUGUUUUAUUUUAUUAUUAUUAUUAUUAUUAUUAUUAUUUUGUCUUUUCUAGGGCCGAACCCGUGGCAUAUGGAGAUUCCCAGGCUAGGGGUCUAAUUGGAGCCAUAGCCGCCGGCCUACGCCAGAGCCACAGCAACUUGGAAUCUGAGCCACAUCUGUGACCUACACCACAGCUCAUGGCAAUGCCGGAUCUUUAACCCACUGAGCA
Molecule: long non-coding RNA, 5772 nt
Filed under: Sus scrofa (pig)
Lineage: Eukaryota; Metazoa; Chordata; Mammalia; Artiodactyla; Suidae
Description: lncRNA (ENSSSCG00015062428.1)
Source: RNAcentral